Molecule: unclassified non-coding RNA, 303 nt
Filed under: Zea mays
Lineage: Eukaryota; Viridiplantae; Streptophyta; Magnoliopsida; Poales; Poaceae
Description: misc RNA Zm00001eb254870
Source: RNAcentral
UUGGUGUCGCUACCCUCCUCGUCCUCCUCGGGCUUGGCAUGGGCGGGGUUCGCGGGGUGCGAGGGCGACACAGAGGUGGAUUGGAACCGCGAAGGCCAUCGUCACGCAGGCCUCGUCGACGUCCUCGUCGUCGGGCUUAGCACGAGUGGGAAGCGGGGGGCGGCGAAGGUGGAUCGGAGCCGCGGAGGGUCGGGGACUGCGGGGGAGGUUAGCACGAGUGGGAUGCGGGGGGCAGCGAAGGCGGAUCGGAGCCGCGGAGGGUCGGGGACUGCGGGGGAGGUUAGGGAUUGGGUACAGCCGUGA